UGUGUGCGUGUGUUUCAGAAUGUGUGUGUGUGUGUGAUUAAAAGAGGGGGAGGAUAAAUGGGAGUGUUGGGCUAGGGCUUAGUUUGGGGUUGUUGGGCUUGGGUUGGGCUUAGAGGUUUGGGCUUGAGGGACUUGGGCCGAGUAUUGGGCCUAUUUUUAAAUAGUUUUGGGCUGCGAUUUUUUUUAAAAAGCUUGGGCCGAUUUUUUUUAAUUUUAUUUAGCUGGGCCCGAUUCAUUUUAUUCAGUUUGGGCCAUUCCUAUUUUAUUGAGUUGGGCCUCAUCUUUUAAAUUUAUAUGGACUAUUAUUUAUUUAAGCAUGGGCUCUAUUUCAUCUAUAUAAAUGGCUUCCCUAUUUUAUUUAAUUAGACUAUUAAUUAGUUUGAUUAAUUAUUUUUAAAGACUUUGGAUUGCCUUCAAUUAAUUAAAUUGGGCUUUCUUAUUUUUAAUUAAUUGAAC
This 456-nucleotide long non-coding RNA is filed under the name Salvia miltiorrhiza (redroot sage). RNAcentral's name for it is "long non-coding RNA (SMIL_LNC013152)". The record is from RNAcentral. Lineage: Eukaryota; Viridiplantae; Streptophyta; Magnoliopsida; Lamiales; Lamiaceae.